Molecule: ribosomal RNA, 540 nt
Filed under: uncultured bacterium
Lineage: Bacteria
Description: bacterial SSU rRNA
Rfam family: Bacterial small subunit ribosomal RNA
Source: RNAcentral
UUACCUGGCCUUGACAUACUAAGAACUUUCCAGAGAUGGAUUGGUGCCUUCGGGAACUUAGAUACAGGUGCUGCAUGGCUGUCGUCAGCUCGUGUCGUGAGAUGUUCGGGUUAAGUCCCGCAACGAGCGCAACCCUUUUCCUUAUUUGCCAGCGGGUUAAGCCGGGAACUUUAAGGAUACUGCCAGUGACAAACUGGAGGAAGGCGGGGACGACGUCAAGUCAUCAUGGCCCUUACGGCCAGGGCUACACACGUGCUACAAUGGUCGGUACAAAGGGUUGCUACCUCGCGAGAGGAUGCUAAUCUCAAAAAGCCGAUCGUAGUCCGGAUCGCAGUCUGCAACUCGACUGCGUGAAGUCGGAAUCGCUAGUAAUCGCGGAUCAGAAUGCCGCGGUGAAUACGUUCCCGGGCCUUGUACACACCGCCCGUCACACCAUGGGAGUUUGUUGCACCAGAAGUAGGUAGUCUAACCGCAAGGAGGACGCUUACCACGGUGUGGCCGAUGACUGGGGUGAAGUCGUAACAAGGUAGGCGUAGAUGA